AGACGUCUACAUUAGAUACCCCUGUAGUCCCAGCCGUAAACUAUGCGCGUUAGGUGUAUCGGUGACCACGAGUUACCGAGGCGCCGAAGGGAAACCGUGAAACGUGCCGCCUGGGAAGUACGGUCGCAAGGCUGAAACUUAAAGGAAUUGGCGGGGAGCACCACAACAGGUGGAGCCUGCGGUUUAAUUGGACUCAACGCCGGGAAGCUCACCGGAUAGGACAGCAGAAUGAUUGCCGGGCUGAAGACCCUGCAUGACUAGCUG
RNAcentral lists this ribosomal RNA (264 nucleotides) under uncultured archaeon. Its description in RNAcentral is "partial 16S ribosomal RNA". It matches the Rfam family "Archaeal small subunit ribosomal RNA", at positions 714 to 982 of the family's 1478-position model. The record is from RNAcentral.